RNAcentral lists this ribosomal RNA (206 nucleotides) under uncultured bacterium. RNAcentral describes it as "partial 16S ribosomal RNA". It matches the Rfam family "Bacterial small subunit ribosomal RNA", at positions 568 to 774 of the family's 1533-position model. The record is from RNAcentral.
CGCGUAGGCGGCGGAGCAAGUGUGACGUGAAAGCCCUCGGCUUAGCCGGGAAGGGCGUUGCAAACUGCUGGGCUAGAGUGCCGGAGGGGGAGGCGGAAUUCCUGGUGGAGCGGUGAAAUGCGUAGAGAUCAGGAAGAACGUCGGUGGCGAAGGCGGCCUCCUGGACGGACACUGACGCUGAGGUGCGAGAGCGUGGGGAGCGAACG